Molecule: unclassified non-coding RNA, 213 nt
Filed under: plant metagenome
Description: partial contains small subunit ribosomal RNA, internal transcribed spacer 1, and 5.8S ribosomal RNA
Source: RNAcentral
UCUCCGUAGGUGAACCUGCGGAGGGAUCACUACAGGCGUGAAAAAGCUCUGAAACCACUGUUUAUCUACCUGAAUCUGCUCCGGCGGUCGGCCCCAGGGCCGGGCCGUAGCCGCAAGGCGCCCGCCGAAGACCCCUAAACUCUGUCGUCUUGAGAAUCUCUGAGUAAUUAUUUUAAACAAAAACAACUUUCAACAACGGAUCUCUUGGCUCUG